Salvelinus namaycush (lake trout) is the source of this 5182-nucleotide long non-coding RNA. RefSeq lists it as uncharacterized. Lineage: Eukaryota; Metazoa; Chordata; Actinopteri; Salmoniformes; Salmonidae. The record is from RefSeq and is a predicted model, not a curated record. The transcript has 2 exons.
AGAGGGCGGAGGAAGAAGAGAGGGAAGGAGAGGGAGAAGGAAGAAGAGAGGAAAGGAGGGAGAGAGGGACGGUAAACUGGAGUACUGUCUCCUGUUGAAUCACAAGCACCAGCUACGAGAGGGAGAGAAGAAGAGAGGGAGAGGAAGAUACGGAGAGAAGAAGAGAGAGGAGAGUAAACCAGCAGUGUUGCCUUUUCUGUCCCAUAUGUGUUUUUUCUACUGUUAUUUAUUUAUUAUUUAGUCUCUUUAUAUGUUUCAUCCUUUAUGGAGUGUUGGAGUGGGACCUGUCUCUAUAACAACUGUCUCCUAGCUACCAUAUUGGGACAGAUACCUGUCUCUGUAACAACUGUCUCCUAGCUACCAUAUUGGGACAGGGCCAUUCUCUGUAACAACUGUCUCCUAACUACCAUAUUGGGACAGGCACCUGUCUCUAUAACAACUGUCUCCUAGCUACCAUAUUGGGACAGAUACCUGUCUCUGUAACAACUGUCUCCUAACUACCAUAUUGGGACAGAUACCUGUAUCUGUAACAACUGUCUCCUAACUACCAUAUUGGGACAGAUACCUGUCUCUGUAACAACUGUCUCCUAACUACCAUAUUGGGACAGAUACCUGUCUCUGUAACAACUGUCUCCUAACUACCAUAUUGGGACAGAUACCUGUCUCUGUAACAACUGUCUCCUAACUACCAUAUUGGGACAGAUACCUGUCUCUGUAACAACUGUCUCCUAACUACCAUAUUGGGACAGAUACCUGUCUCUGUAACAACUGUCUCCUAACUACCAUAUUGGGACAGGCACCAUUCUCUGUAACAACUGUCUCCUAACUACCAUAUUGGGACAGAUACCUGUCUCUGUAACAACUGUCUCCUAACUACCAUAUUGGGACAGGCACCAUUCUCUGUAACAACUGUCUCCUAACUACCAUAUUGGGACAGAUACAUGUCUCUGUAACAACUGUCUCCUAACUACCAUAUUGGGACAGAUACCUGUCUCUGUAACAACUGUCUCCUAGGUACCAUAUUGGGACAGGCACCAUUCUCUGUAACAACUGUCUCCUAACUACCAUAUUGGGACAGAUACCUGUCUCUGUAACAACUGUCUCCUAACUACAAUAUUGGGACAGAUACCUGUCUCUGUAACAACUGUCUCCUAACUACCAUAUUGGGACAGAUACCUGUCUCUGUAACAACUGUCUCCUAACUACCAUAUUGGGACAGGCACCAUUCUCUGUAACAACUGUCUCCUAACUACCAUAUUGGGACAGAUACCUGUCUCUGUAACAACUGUCUCCUAACUACCAUAUUGGGACAGAUACCUGUCUCUGUAACAACUGUCUCCUAACUACCAUAUUGGGACAGAUACCUGUCUCUGUAACAACUGUCUCCUAACUACCAUAUUGGGACAGGCACCAUUCUCUGUAACAACUGUCUCCUAUCUACCAUAUUGGGACAGAUACCUGUCUCUGUAACAACUGUCUCCUAAGUACCAUAUUGGGACAGGGCCAUUCUCUGUAACAACUGUCUCCUAACUACCAUAUUGGGACAGGGCGAUUCUCUGUAAUAACUGUCUCCUAACUACCAUAUUGGGACAGAUACCUGUCUCUAACAACUGUCUCCUAUGUACUAGGCUACCAUAUUGGGACAGAUACCUGUCUCUGUAACAACUGUCUCCUAUGUACUAGGCUAGCAUAUUGGGACAGAUACCUGUCUCUGUAACAACUGUCUCCUAUGUACUAGGCUAGCAUAUUGGGACAGAUACCUGUCUCUCUAGCAACUGUCUCCUAUGUACUAGGCUAGCAUAUUGGGACAGAUACCUGUCUCUAACAACUGUCUCCUAUGUACUAGGCUAGCAUAUUGGGACAGAUACCUGUCUCUGUAACAACUGUCUCCUAUGUACUAGGCUAGCAUAUUGGGACAGAUACCUGUCUCUGUAACAACUGUCUCCUAUGUACUAGGCUAGCAUAUUGGGACAGAUACCUGUCUCUCUAACAACUGUCUCCUAUGUACUAGGCUAGCAUAUUGGGACAGAUACCUGUCUCUGUAACAACUGUCUCCUAUGUACUAGGCUAGCAUAUUGGGACAGAUACCUGUCUCUGUAACAACUGUCUCCUAUGUACUAGGCUAGCAUAUUGGGACAGAUACAUGUCUCUCUAACAACUGUCUCCUAUGUACUAGGCUAGCAUAUUGGGACAGAUACCUGUCUCUGUAACAACUGUCUCCUAUGUACUAGGCUAGCAUAUUGGGACAGAUACCUGUCUCUGUAACAACUGUCUCCUAUGUACUAGGCUAGCAUAUUGGGACAGAUACCUGUCUCUGUAACAACUGUCUCCUAUGUACUAGGCUACCAUAUUGGGACAGAUACCUGUCUCUGUAACAACUGUCUCCUAACUACCAUAUUGGGACAGAUACCUGUCUCUCUAACAACUGUCUCCUAUGUACUAGGCUAGCAUAUUGGGACAGAUACCUGUCUCUGUAACAACUGUCUCCUAUGUACUAGGCUAGCAUAUUGGGACAGAUACCUGUCUCUGUAACAACUGUCUCCUAUGUACUAGGCUAGCAUAUUGGGACAGAUACCUGUCUCUGUAACAACUGUCUCCUAUGUACUAGGCUACCAUAUUGGGACAGAUACCUGUCUCUGUAACAACUGUCUCCUAACUACCAUAUUGGGACAGAUACCUGUCUCUGUAACAACUGUCUCCCAUGUACUAGGCUAGCAUAUUGGGACAGAUACCUGUCUCUGUAACAACUGUCUCCUAUGUACUAGGCUAGCAUAUUGGGACAGAUACCUGUCUCUGUAACAACUGUCUCCUAUGUACUAGGCUAGCAUAUUGGGACAGAUACCUGUCUCUGUAACAACUGUCUCCUAUGUACUAGGCUAGCAUAUUGGGACAGAUACCUGUCUCUGUAACAACUGUCUCCUAACUACCAUAUUGGGACAGAUACCUGUCUCUCUAACAACUGUCUCCUAUGUACUAGGCUAGCAUAUUGGGACAGAUACCUGUCUCUCUAACAACUGUCUCCUAUGUACUAGGCUAGCAUAUUGGGACAGAUACCUGUCUCUGUAACAACUGUCUCAUAUGUACUAGGCUAGCAUAUUGGGACAGAUACCUGUCUCUAACAACUGUCUCCUAUGUACUAGGCUAGCAUAUUGGGACAGAUACCUGUCUCUGUAACAACUGUCUCAUAUGUACUAGGCUAGCAUAUUGGGACAGAUACCUGUCUCUAACAACUGUCUCCUAUGUACUAGGCUAGCAUAUUGGGACAGAUACCUGUCUCUGUAACAACUGUCUCCUAUGUACUAGGCUAGCAUAUUGCUCCACACAUACUGGGAUGUGUUCUGAAUGGCCCCCUGUUCCCUAUAUAGUGCACUACUUUUCACCAGACCAGGUUCUACACACCCCAGACCCCUAUGGGUUCUACACACCCCAGACCCCUAUGGGUUCUACACACCCCAGACCCCUAUGGGUUCUACACACCCCAGACCCCUAUGGGUUCUACACACCCCAGACCCCUAUGGGUUCUACACACCCCAGACCCCUAUGGGUUCUACACACCCCAGACCCCUAUGGGUUCUACACACCCCAGACCCCUAUGGGUUCUACACACCCCAGACCCCUAUGGGUUCUGGUCAAAGGUAGUGCACUCUAAAGGGAAUAGGGUGCCAUUUGUGACAAACACACAAUACUCUGCACUCACCUCCCCCAUAUAGUCUACACACCCCACCCUCCCCCUCUCCUACCUUGUCCUUGUGUUAAUACAUACACUCAACUGUACACUUCUGUCUUGACACGAGUUCCGUUCAGAUGAAUAAUAAUAAUAAUAAGCCACAUAGCAGAUGCUUCUAUCCAAAGCCACGGUCAGGUGUUCUGUUGUCUGGUUGUGCCCGGCGGGAGUUGAACCUCUAUCCAAAGCCACGGUCAGGUGUUCUGUUGUCUGGUUGUGCCCGGCGGGAGUUGAACCUCUAGUGCCGUGAUGCUCGUAUCAACUGAGCGUUGUGGAACCAGUUCAUGUUCUGCCUUCUGAAUGACCUGCAUUCCUUUUCUCAAAUCCGGCCCAGUAGUUUACUCAUUCUCACGUUAAACACAUCAGAACUCAUUUGACAUCUUGUAUUAGAAAGUGUAAUUACAUUCUCUAACUCUGUUGUCCAGGAUUGAAAAUACCAUUAUAUUAUCAUUAUUAUUAUUAUUAUUAUUACAUUGUCUUAACACUCUUCUCCUUUGAAUACAAUUUGUAAGUCGCUCUGGAUAAGAGCGUCUGCUAAAUGACUUAAAUGUAAAUGUAAAUACAAUUCCAUAUUCUCUUCUACUCUUUAAUGUUGUGUACCGUCGCCUAAUAUCAUAGGGCACGUCCCAAAUGACACCAUAUUCCCUACUUAGUGCACUACUUUUGACCCAGACCUAUAGAGCUCUCUGGUCAAGAGUAGUGCACUACUUUUGACCCAGACCCUAUAGAGCUCUCUGGUCAAGAGUAGUGCACUACUUUUGACCCAGACCCUAUAGAGCUCUCUGGUCAAGAGUAGUGCACUACUUUUGACCCAGACCUAUAGAGCUCUCUGGUAAAGAGUAGUGCACUACUUUUGACCCAGACCCUAUAGAGCUCUCUGGUCAAGAGUAGUGCACUACUUUUGACCCAGACCCUAUAGGGUUCUCUGGUAGAGAGUAGUGCACUAAGUAGGGCACAGUGUUCCAUUUGGGACGUAACCGUGGACAGCUGUUUAUCUCCUCCAUCACAGUCUCCUCAAUGUAUUUCCAGGUCAUCCUCCUCUCAGCCGUGGACAGGCACAAUGCUGGUGUAUAUAUAUAUAUAUAUAUACUAUAUACAUACUGUUGCACUUUCUAGGAAAAUACAUAAGGCCUAUAGUCUUUUUAAACCAUAUGACUGGGGUUGCACAAUUCUAAAGUCCCUGGUUUUCCACAAAUCCUGGUUGGAAGAUUCCUGUAAAUAUGAGGGAAUGAGCAGGAAAUCCGGGACUCCUUCCACCAGGAUUUGUGUAAAAACUGAGAAUUUGGGGAAAGUUCUGGACCGCAGCAGCCCUAUCUGAUCCUCAGCACUGCGAAGGGAGGUGUUUAAAGACACUAUCUAAUACCACCACAUGAAAAACAAAACUAUAAAACACAAAGUGUAAUAUUUUGCAACUUGAGUAUCAGUACAAUAAAGUUUUACUUAAAAUGACCAACACAA